RNAcentral lists this ribosomal RNA (440 nucleotides) under uncultured bacterium. RNAcentral's name for it is "partial 16S ribosomal RNA". It matches the Rfam family "Bacterial small subunit ribosomal RNA", at positions 338 to 795 of the family's 1533-position model. The record is from RNAcentral.
CCUACGGGUGACAGCAGUGGGGAAUAUUGCACAAUGGGGGAAACCCUGAUGCAGCGACGCCGCGUGAGUGAAGAAGUAUUUCGGUACGUAAAGCUCUAUCAGCAGGGAAGAAAAUGACGGUACCUGACUAAGAAGCCCCGGCUAACUACGUGCCAGCAGCCGCGGUAAUACGUAGGGGGCAAGCGUUAUCCGGAUUUACUGGGUGUAAAGGGAGCGUAGACGGCAGCGCAAGUCUGGAGUGAAAUCCCAUGGCUUAACCAUGGAACUGCUUUGGAAACUGUGCAGCUAGAGUGCAGGAGAGGUAAGCGGAAUUCCUAGUGUAGCGGUGAAAUGCGUAGAUAUUAGGAGGAACACCAGUGGCGAAGGCGGCUUACUGGAUUGUAACUGACGUUGAGGCUCGAAAGCGUGGGGAGCAAACAGGAUUAGAUACCCGGGUAGUC